GGUCAACCACAAACACAUUCUCAAAUCUCAAUUCAUCUCCUAUCCUUGGUUCGAUAUAAUCGAAGCUCUCUACUGAAAUUUGAUUGUUGUCAAGCAACUUCUUUCACCAUUACCAAUUUUAUUCCUUCCGUCACCACCAACUUUGAUUGCAGCAAAAUGACUGCUUAUGGUGCUGUGCUUUCUCUUAGGAAUACAAUUAACAAUAUUCUCCAUUGUUCUCGUUUAAGCCUUGUUGGUCGCUCUCAACAAAGCUUAGAAGUCGUGUACGACGAGUUGGAGCCAUUGAGAGGAAUUCUGGAAAAAUAGGACUACACUAGUCCAAGCAGAAGCAGGAAGAAGGUGAAUGCUUUGGAUGGAAGAAUCAAACAGGCAUUAUGGAAAUUUGAAGACUCAUUGGAAUCCCUUCUCAUGGAACAUAUUCCUUCACAAUUUGAAAGUAUUCCGGAAAUAGUCUUCAUUGAUCUGCAGAAUCUGCAAAAUGAUGUUAAUACCUUGAUCCGCUCAAUGAUAUGGUGGAGAAGGACUACAUUUAUGAAGUUGAGAAUAUGCCUCAAGAUGAACCCAUUUCCUCAUUAAUUGGUUUUUAUGGAACCAACUCAAAGAUGGUUGGAUUAUCAGACCAAUUCCAACAUGUCAAAACCCAUCUUCUAAGAGGAUGUAGCGGCUGGAUUAAUUUCUACGCACUUUAUGGAACUGCGGGAGUUGGGAAGACCACUCUUGCUAUGCAAAUUUAUCAAGACCCACCAAUUCAGAGCAAAUACGAAUGUCGGGUGUGGGUCACCGUAGGCAGAGUACCUCAACCGACUAAUCAAAUUUCAAGAGGCAUUCUAGCUCAACUGUCUGGGAUUAAUCAAGGAGAUGAAGAAAUAAGUGACUGCUUGAAAGAAAGAUUCCAUGACAAGAACUGUCUCAUUGUGUUGGAUGAUGUUUGGGAGACAGAUGUAUGGAAAUUCUGGUGCAGAAUUGGGGCUGCCGGAGCUGAGAACGGCUACCGGAAUCGCACCUAUACAAAUAGAACUCGGCGAGAGGGAAGAUAGAUUGAGAGGAGAAGAGUUUUGCAUUAAUAUUUGAAUUGAAUGAAUACAAAUGAGGAAGAGAUCAGCUUAUAUAGCUGAAUGUGUAACUAAUCGACAGUUAACAGCUCUAACCGCCUCUAACUAACUUGAUUUCAGCUCAACUAACUCUCAACUACACAGCUAAACAUCAUUCCUCCCCGCUAUAAGUAUCAUUCCUCCCAACUACAAGUAUCAUUCUUCCCAGUUACAAGUAUCAUUCUUCCCAGCUACAAGUAUCAUAUAUCAAAUUCAUGGAAGAUUCAUCACCAUUCUUCCCAGCUACAAGUAUCAUAUAUCAAAUUCAUGGAAGAUUCAUCACCAUACAUAAAAAGUGGAUGUAAUCUGGUAUUGCUUACUGGUCGACAUCGAAAAUUGAUGAAUGAUGGUGUGCGUAACGAAUCUUGGUGUGAGGUGCGGUUUGGUUUUUGAACGAAGAAGAAAGUAUGGAUCUACUAUGUGACAAGGUGUUUGGGGAUUAGGGUUGCCCUCCUCAACUUCACAAAGCUGCCACCAAAAUUGCCAAGUUUUGUGAAGGUCUCCCUCUCAUGAUACUCGCAGUUGCUGAGUCUUUAUCAAGAUCAAAAAAUAGAGAUCCAAUCUACUGGAAUGAAGUAGCACAAAAGAGAAAUUCACUCUUUACGGAUGCAUAUAAUGAAAUAUCAAAGGUACUUUUCUCAAGUUACGACUACUUACGUCAACAUCUUAAAAUGCCUUUUCUAUUUCUCGGAGUUUUCCCUCAAGAUUAUGACACUCCACCUUCCAAGAUCAUCUUUAUGCUCGCCGCUAAGGGGUUGUGGGAUGAUUGGGAAUGUUUGAUGGAGCUAGCUAUCGACUACAGUCUUGUUUUACGCAGCUUGAAGAGCGUGAAUAAAACUUAUAGUGAAUUUUCUGUUAGCGAAUACAAAACUUGUCGGCUUCAUUCUUCGUGGUGGCACGUGUGUAGAGGAGAAGCUAGUAAGAACAAGUUUUAUCAUGUCCUAAAUAAGUUAAUUGAUGCCAAAGAAAAAAGUCUUAAAGGUCAAUGCGGCUUGUGUCUCGAAAAUAAUAUUUUGUUUGGCAUCAAAGAGUUUCGCGAGUCAGUAAGACUAAAUUGUGCUUUCUCUACACGUUCUCUCCUUUUGUACGGUCCUUACCACCAAUAUCCGAUCCCUAUAGAUGUUGGUUUCAUGUUAUUAAGGGAAAUUGAUAUUCUUACACAACGCGUAUAUACUUUUCCAAUAGAAAUUCUUUCACUAGUCCAACUGAAGUACCUUGCUCUAACUUGCAACGGAGAAGUUCCUGCAACUAUAUCCAAAGUUUUCAACCUUGGAGUCUUGAUUAUCCAUCCACAUCUGAUUAUUAGACAUUGUAGAGCUCCAUCAUAUGUACCAAUACAAAUAUGGGAUAUGCUUAAGUUAGAGCAUAUUUAGAUACUGGGAAAGAGUUUUAUUGCUCCAUCUUAUGUAGCUUCUUUGAAAAAGCUCUCAACACUUUUAGGAGUGAAUGCUAGUAUUUGUACAAUCUUAGAACUCUCCAGAAAAAUUUCAAACAUAAAGAAAUUAGGAAUACAGAUUGAGCUAACGCCUUAUGACGACCAUAAUGAUAUUUUGAAUUGUUUUGGUUGUAUUUCAACACUUGGAAGUUUGGAUACACUCAAAUUGAGUAUCACAAAUCUCGUGGUCAAACAUGAUCAUGUUUUCCCAGUGAAUCUUGGGUUAAUGAAGUUGCCACAUUAUUUGAAAAAGUUACAUUUGAGUGGUAUGGGUUUUGCUUGGAAAUACAUGGAUGUCAUUGGCUCUUUGCCGUACCUUCAAGUGCUCAAAUUGCGAUCUUACGCCAUUCAAGGGUCAUAUUGGGAAACACAAAGGCGAAGUUUUAGGAGCCUUGAGUUUCUUCUAAUUGAAGAAAGUGAUUUGGUGCAAUGGAAAGCGGUAUACGAAAGCUUGGCCAAAUUCCACAAAACUACCUUAUGGGAGCUUUAAUCCGCCGUUUGUACGCUGAAAAUAAAAAUUUCCAAGGAGGGGAAAGACGCGAGAGAAAUUCGCGUGUUUAUUUAAAACACGCAUCAAGCUCUCGCGUGUUGACUUAAAACACGCAUUCUUCUCUCGCGUGUUUUACUCAUACACGCGUUAGGCAAACGCGUGUUUGCCUUGGUUCCAUCGCUGCUUCUGCCUCUCAUUCACAGAGCACCCAAACCAGACCGGGCGCGACUCCACUUAAAAUAUGAAUUGGAGCAGCUAGAUGUCGGAUUAACUUCGAUUUCCGCCGGCUGGAGACGUUGGGAGCAGAAGGUGUCGCGCUGAGAGGUGUCGCGGUGUGAAUGAGGAGCGAGUUCCGUAAGGAUCUGCCUUCUGGUGUGGAGAUCUAACCAAGGCAAACACGUACUACCGUCUCGCGUCUUUAUCAAUAUACAUGCAUGAGCUUCUCGCGUGUAUAAGGAAGAGACGCAUCAGCUUGAUGCGUGUUUUAAAUAAACACGCGAAUUUCUCUCGCGUCUUUCCCCUCCUUGGAAAUUUUUAUUUUCAGCGUACAAACAGCGGAUUAAAGCUCCCAUAAGGUAGUUUUGUGGAAUUUGGCCACGAAAGCUUCCCUGUGCUUAAAUACCUAAGCAUGAAACAUUGUCACAAACUAGAGGAUUUUAGCUGCAGGCCUUCUUUUCUGCACCAGUAUGAUUGUACCAUAGAGAUUGAAUUAGAAAACUGCAAUCCUUUAGCCUUGGCUUGGGCCAGCCAAUUACAGCCAAGUCUUGGUGUUACACUUCGUGUUAUUGCCUCCACUUCGUUUGACGAGAAACCAACAACUUUCAAACCUGAAAGACCGAACAUUUGAAGAUGAGGAAGAGAAUGAUGAUAAUAAAGAAAUUGCCAUUCGGAUGAAGAGGAGUGUUGGAGAAGAUGGUAGGAUUAUGCUGGAGUGCCAAUGUCAAAGAGCAUGUGGGUUAAUAGGGCCAUUAUUUGAUAUUCUGUUUGGUUGUUUGGGCUUCAAGGAUAGGAGGGCUCUUUGAGCCCUUAAAUCUGCUGCUACAGAAUGAUACACACAUGAAUCAAGUUAUGAAUUUUACUCAUUCAAUUCAAUAACUUCUGCAAUGAUGUCUUGGUAUUUUGGUUUGAUUUUCAAUAAAUAAAUCAUUUGCAUUAUUGGGUUGUCAUCUGAUUUCUGCCAAGGAUUUGAACCUUGUGAUUGCUGAGGCCUCUAAUGUGGAGGGUUCCUGCAAUGCUGAGGGGAUCUGGCUUGGUUUGCAGAAUGUUGUGAGAGUCACGCGCAACACCAAUGCCACAGCUCCUUUUUUGGUCUGUGGUGCUGGGAGUUCAGA
This is a long non-coding RNA of Salvia splendens (bonfire salvia), 4347 nucleotides long. RefSeq lists it as uncharacterized. The transcript is spliced from 4 exons. Lineage: Eukaryota; Viridiplantae; Streptophyta; Magnoliopsida; Lamiales; Lamiaceae. The record is from RefSeq and is a predicted model, not a curated record.